This 428-nucleotide ribosomal RNA is filed under the name Ophelina curli. RNAcentral's name for it is "partial 16S ribosomal RNA". It matches the Rfam family "Bacterial large subunit ribosomal RNA", at positions 1953 to 2610 of the family's 2925-position model. Lineage: Eukaryota; Metazoa; Annelida; Polychaeta; Opheliidae. The record is from RNAcentral.
AAGGUAGCAUAAUCAUUUGCCCUUUAAUUGGGGGCUAGUAUGAAUGGACUCACGAGAGAAAAGCUGUCUCAGUAUUAUUAGUAAAAAUUAGCAUCUGGGUGAAGAGACUCGGAUUUAAAUAAAGGACAAGAAGACCCUAUUGAGCUUUGCUUUUUUCUCUUUGUUUUAAGGGUGGAAGGGGCUUGAUUGGGGCGAUCAGGGAAUUUCCUAAACUUCCCUGGGUUUUUCGGCUUUCGUGCCUUAAUGGAUCUGAAAUUUUAUUUUCAAUUAAAGGAAGAAGCUACCAUAGGGAUAACAGACUAAUCCUCCUAGAGAGUUCACAUUGACAGGAGGGGUUGGCACCUCGAUGUUGGCUUAGGGCGUCCCUUUGGUGCAGGCGCCAAAAAAGGUAGGUUUGUUCAACCUGUAAGGCCCUACGUGAUCUGAGU